CCGGCGAUUUCCGAAUGGGGAAACCCAGUGUGAUUCGUCACACUAUCAUUAACUGAAUCCAUAGGUUAAUGAGGCGAACCGGGGGAACUGAAACAUCUAAGUACCCCGAGGAAAAGAAAUCAACCGAGAUUCCCCCAGUAGCGGCGAGCGAACGGGGAGGAGCCCAGAGCCUGAAUCAGUGUGUGUGUUAGUGGAAGCGUCUGGAAAGGCGCGCGAUACAGGGUGACAGCCCCGUACACAAAAAUGCACAUGCUGUGAGCUCGAUGAGUAGGGCGGGACACGUGGUAUCCUGUCUGAAUAUGGGGGGACCAUCCUCCAAGGCUAAAUACUCCUGACUGACCGAUAGUGAACCAGUACCGUGAGGGAAAGGCGAAAAGAACCCCGGCGAGGGGAGUGAAAAAGAACCUGAAACCGUGUACGUACAAGCAGUGGGAGCCUCUUAAUGGGGUGACUGCGUACCUUUUGUAUAAUGGGUCAGCGACUUAUAUUCUGUAGCAAGGUUAACCGAAUAGGGGAGCCGAAGGGAAACCGAGUCUUAACUGGGCGUUAAGUUGCAGGGUAUAGACCCGAAACCCGGUGAUCUAGCCAUGGGCAGGUUGAAGGUUGGGUAACACUAACUGGAGGACCGAACCGACUAAUGUUGAAAAAUUAGCGGAUGACUUGUGGCUGGGGGUGAAAGGCCAAUCAAACCGGGAGAUAGCUGGUUCUCCCCGAAAGCUAUUUAGGUAGCGCCUCGUGAAUUCAUCUCCGGGGGUAGAGCACUGUUUCGGCAAGGGGGUCAUCCCGACUUACCAACCCGAUGCAAACUGCGAAUACCGGAGAAUGUUAUCACGGGAGACACACGGCGGGUGCUAACGUCCGUCGUGAAGAGGGAAACAACCCAGACCGCCAGCUAAGGUCCCAAAGUCAUGGUUAAGUGGGAAACGAUGUGGGAAGGCCCAGACAGCCAGGAUGUUGGCUUAGAAGCAGCCAUCAUUUAAAGAAAGCGUAAUAGCUCACUGGUCGAGUCGGCCUGCGCGGAAGAUGUAACGGGGCUAAACCAUGCACCGAAGCUGCGGCAGCGACACUAUGUGUUGUUGGGUAGGGGAGCGUUCUGUAAGCCUGUGAAGGUGGCCUGUGAGGGUUGCUGGAGGUAUCAGAAGUGCGAAUGCUGACAUAAGUAACGAUAAAGCGGGUGAAAAGCCCGCUCGCCGGAAGACCAAGGGUUCCUGUCCAACGUUAAUCGGGGCAGGGUGAGUCGACCCCUAAGGCGAGGCCGAAAGGCGUAGUCGAUGGGAAACAGGUUAAUAUUCCUGUACUUGGUGUUACUGCGAAGGGGGGACGGAGAAGGCUAUGUUGGCCGGGCGACGGUUGUCCCGGUUUAAGCGUGUAGGCUGGUUUUCCAGGCAAAUCCGGAAAACCAAGGCUGAGGCGUGAUGACGAGGCACUACGGUGCUGAAGUGACAAAUGCCCUGCUUCCAGGAAAAGCCUCUAAGCAUCAGGUAACAUCAAAUCGUACCCCAAACCGACACAGGUGGUCAGGUAGAGAAUACCAAGGCGCUUGAGAGAACUCGGGUGAAGGAACUAGGCAAAAUGGUGCCGUAACUUCGGGAGAAGGCACGCUGAUAUGUAGGUGAAGCGACUUGCUCGUGGAGCUGAAAUCAGUCGAAGAUACCAGCUGGCUGCAACUGUUUAUUAAAAACACAGCACUGUGCAAACACGAAAGUGGACGUAUACGGUGUGACGCCUGCCCGGUGCCGGAAGGUUAAUUGAUGGGGUUAGCGGUAACGCGAAGCUCUUGAUCGAAGCCCCGGUAAACGGCGGCCGUAACUAUAACGGUCCUAAGGUAGCGAAAUUCCUUGUCGGGUAAGUUCCGACCUGCACGAAUGGCGUAAUGAUGGCCAGGCUGUCUCCACCCGAGACUCAGUGAAAUUGAACUCGCUGUGAAGAUGCAGUGUACCCGCGGCAAGACGGAAAGACCCCGUGAACCUUUACUAUAGCUUGACACUGAACAUUGAGCCUUGAUGUGUAGGAUAGGUGGGAGGCUUUGAAGUGUGGACGCCAGUCUGCAUGGAGCCGACCUUGAAAUACCACCCUUUAAUGUUUGAUGUUCUAACGUUGGCCCCUAAUCGGGGUUGCGGACAGUGUCUGGUGGGUAGUUUGACUGGGGCGGUCUCCUCCUAAAGAGUAACGGAGGAGCACGAAGGUUGGCUAAUCCUGGUCGGACAUCAGGAGGUUAGUGCAAUGGCAUAAGCCAGCUUGACUGCGAGCGUGACGGCGCGAGCAGGUGCGAAAGCAGGUCAUAGUGAUCCGGUGGUUCUGAAUGGAAGGGCCAUCGCUCAACGGAUAAAAGGUACUCCGGGGAUAACAGGCUGAUACCGCCCAAGAGUUCAUAUCGACGGCGGUGUUUGGCACCUCGAUGUCGGCUCAUCACAUCCUGGGGCUGAAGUAGGUCCCAAGGGUAUGGCUGUUCGCCAUUUAAAGUGGUACGCGAGCUGGGUUUAGAACGUCGUGAGACAGUUCGGUCCCUAUCUGCCGUGGGCGCUGGAGAACUGAGGGGGGCUGCUCCUAGUACGAGAGGACCGGAGUGGACGCAUCACUGGUGUUCGGGUUGUCAUGCCAAUGGCACUGCCCGGUAGCUAAAUGCGGAAGAGAUAAGUGCUGAAAGCAUCUAAGCACGAAACUUGCCCCGAGAUGAGUUCUCCCUGAGACUUAGAGUCUCCUGAAGGAACGUUGAAGACGACGACGUUGAUAGGCCGGGUGUGUAAGCGCAGCGAUGCGUUGAGCUAACCGGUACUAAUGAACCGUGAGGCUUAACCUU
RNAcentral lists this ribosomal RNA (2800 nucleotides) under Escherichia coli. RNAcentral describes it as "partial 23S ribosomal RNA". It matches the Rfam family "Bacterial large subunit ribosomal RNA". The record is from RNAcentral. Lineage: Bacteria; Pseudomonadati; Pseudomonadota; Gammaproteobacteria; Enterobacterales; Enterobacteriaceae.